CUUUUUUAGCUAUAGGUUUGCUAUUAGUGGCAGACGGGUGAGUAAUGCAUAGGAAUCUACCUAGUAGUAUGGAAUAGCCAUUAGAAAUGAUGGGUAAUACUGUAUAAUCCCUGCGGGGGAAAGAUUUAUCGCUAUUAGAUGAGCCUAUGUUAGAUUAGUUAGUUGGUAAGGUAAUGGCUUACCAAGACUAUGAUCUAUAGCUGGUCUGAGAGGACGAUCAGCCACACUGGAACUGAGAUACGGUCCAGACUCCUACGGGAGGCAGCAGUGGGGAAUAUUGGACAAUGGGCGAAAGCCUGAUCCAGCUAUGCCGCGUGAGUGAAGAAGGCCUUCGGGUUGUAAAGCUCUUUCAAUAGGGAAGAUAAUGACGGUACCUAUAGAAGAAGUCCCGGCAAACUCCGUGCCAGCAGCCGCGGUAAUACGGAGGGGGCAAGCGUUGUUCGGAAUUAUUGGGCGUAAAGGGCACGUAGGUGGACUAGUAAGUUAAAAGUGAAAUACCAAAGCUUAACUUUGGAGCGGCUUUUAAUACUGCUAGACUAGAGGUCGAAAGAGGAUAGCGGAAUUCCUAGUGUAGAGGUGAAAUUCGUAGAUAUUAG
This 596-nucleotide ribosomal RNA is filed under the name Ehrlichia muris. RNAcentral's name for it is "bacterial SSU rRNA". It matches the Rfam family "Bacterial small subunit ribosomal RNA", at positions 67 to 700 of the family's 1533-position model. The record is from RNAcentral. Lineage: Bacteria; Pseudomonadati; Pseudomonadota; Alphaproteobacteria; Rickettsiales; Anaplasmataceae.